AUUGAACGCUGGCGGCAUGCUUUACACAUGCAAGUCGAACGGUAACAGGCCUUCGGGUGCUGACGAGUGGCGAACGGGUGAGUAAUGCAUCGGAACGUACCCAGAGGUGGGGGAUAACGCAGCGAAAGCUGUGCUAAUACCGCAUGUGAUCUGAGGAUGAAAGCGGGGGACCGAGCAGCAAUGUUUGGCCUCGCGCCUUUGGAGCGGCCGAUGUCGGAUUAGCUAGUUGGUGGGGUAAAGGCCUACCAAAGCGACGAUCCGUAGCUGGUCUGAGAGGACGACCAGCCACACUGGGACUGAGACACGGCCCAGACUCCUACGGGAGGCAGCAGUGGGGAAUUUUGGACAAUGGGCGCAAGCCUGAUCCAGCAAUGCCGCGUGCGGGAAGAAGGCCUUCGGGUUGUAAACCGCUUUUGGCAGGAACGAAACGGUGUCCGCUAAUACCGGGCGCUAAUGACGGUACCUGCAGAAUAAGCACCGGCUAACUACGUG
RNAcentral lists this ribosomal RNA (492 nucleotides) under uncultured bacterium. RNAcentral describes it as "partial 16S ribosomal RNA". It matches the Rfam family "Bacterial small subunit ribosomal RNA", at positions 29 to 507 of the family's 1533-position model. The record is from RNAcentral.